RNAcentral lists this ribosomal RNA (1403 nucleotides) under uncultured bacterium. RNAcentral describes it as "16S ribosomal RNA". It matches the Rfam family "Bacterial small subunit ribosomal RNA". The record is from RNAcentral.
GAGUGGCGGACGGGUGAGUAACACGUAGGUAACCUGCCCCGGAGCGGGGGAUAACAUUUGGAAACAGAUGCUAAUACCGCAUAACAACAAAAGCCACAUGGCUUUUGUUUGAAAGAUGGCUUUGGCUAUCACUCUGGGAUGGACCUGCGGUGCAUUAGCUAGUUGGUAAGGUAACGGCUUACCAAGGCGAUGAUGCAUAGCCGAGUUGAGAGACUGAUCGGCCACAAUGGAACUGAGACACGGUCCAUACUCCUACGGGAGGCAGCAGUAGGGAAUCUUCCACAAUGGGCGCAAGCCUGAUGGAGCAACACCGCGUGAGUGAAGAAGGGUUUCGGCUCGUAAAGCUCUGUUGUUGGAGAAGAACGUGCGUGAGAGUAACUGUUCACGCAGUGACGGUAUCCAACCAGAAAGUCACGGCUAACUACGUGCCAGCAGCCGCGGUAAUACGUAGGUGGCAAGCGUUAUCCGGAUUUAUUGGGCGUAAAGCGAGCGCAGGCGGUUGCUUAGGUCUGAUGUGAAAGCCUUCGGCUUAACCGAAGAAGUGCAUCGGAAACCGGGCGACUUGAGUGCAGAAGAGGACAGUGGAACUCCAUGUGUAGCGGUGGAAUGCGUAGAUAUAUGGAAGAACACCAGUGGCGAAGGCGGCUGUCUGGUCUGCAACUGACGCUGAGGCUCGAAAGCAUGGGUAGCGAACAGGAUUAGAUACCCUGGUAGUCCAUGCCGUAAACGAUGAGUGCAUAGGUGUUGGAGGGUUUCCGCCCUUCAGUGCCGGAGCUAACGCAUUAAGCACUCCGCCUGGGGAGUACGACCGCAAGGUUGAAACUCAAAGGAAUUGACGGGGGCCCGCACAAGCGGUGGAGCAUGUGGUUUAAUUCGAAGCUACGCGAAGAACCUUACCAGGUCUUGACAUCUUGCGCUAACCUUAGAGAUAAGGCGUUCCCUUCGGGGACGCAAUGACAGGUGGUGCAUGGUCGUCGUCAGCUCGUGUCGUGAGAUGUUGGGUUAAGUCCCGCAACGAGCGCAACCCUUGUUACUAGUUGCCAGCAUUAAGUUGGGCACUCUAGUGAGACUGCCGGUGACAAACCGGAGGAAGGUGGGGACGACGUCAGAUCAUCAUGCCCCUUAUGACCUGGGCUACACACGUGCUACAAUGGACGGUACAACGAGUCGCAAGCUCGCGAGAGUAAGCUAAUCUCUUAAAGCCGUUCUCAGUUCGGACUGUAGGCUGCAACUCGCCUACACGAAGUCGGAAUCGCUAGUAAUCGCGGAUCAGCAUGCCGCGGUGAAUACGUUCCCGGGCCUUGUACACACCGCCCGUCACACCAUGGGAGUUUGUAACGCCCAAAGUCGGUGGCCUAACCUUUAUGGAGAAAGCCGCCUAAGGCGGGACAGAUGACUGGGGU